Molecule: non-coding RNA, 508 nt
Organism: Pelobates cultripes (western spadefoot toad)
Lineage: Eukaryota; Metazoa; Chordata; Amphibia; Anura; Pelobatidae
Source: the annotation of a GenBank genome assembly
GUGCUCACUCACACGUUUUAGAGCUGUCUCAGCUCUGUUAUGAAGGUCUGGACGGAAUAAUCCCCGUCUAUGGAGGUCACCCAGGGCAAUGUCCUGCUUUGGUAUAAAGAACUGGAGGUGGAACAAUCCCCACCUAGGGAUACAUACUGGAACCGGAAGGAUGAUGACGGCUGUAUGAAGGAUGUACUCCACAGGUGAUGAUGUAUAAUAUAGUAGGUUUAUUAAAUAAAAAGCUGGAAACAACAGCUAUAUAAGUAAAAACAAAUAACAAACAAACUGUGGAAAAAAGUCUGACAGAAGUGGCUGCCAGUGAGGACUUAUUUUAUCCACAGUUUGUUUAUUUGUUUUUACUUAUAUAGCUGUUGUUUCCAGCUUUUUAUUUAAUAAACCUACAAUUUUAUCCAUCAUUACCUGUGGAGUACAUCCUUCAUACAGCAUGUAUCCCUAGGUGGGGAUUGUUCCACCUCCAGUUCUUUAUACCAAAGCAGGACAUUGCCCUGGGUGACCU